CGGACGGGUGAGUAAUGUCUGGGAAACUGCCUGAUGGAGGGGGAUAACUACUGGAAACGGUAGCUAAUACCGCAUAACGUCGCAAGACCAAAGAGGGGGACCUUAGGGCCUCUUGCCAUCGGAUGUGCCCAGAUGGGAUUAGCUAAUAGGUGGGGUAAAGGCUCACCUAGGCGACGAUCCCUAGCUGGUCUGAGAGGAUGACCAGCCACACUGGAACUGAGACACGGUCCAG
Molecule: ribosomal RNA, 232 nt
Filed under: uncultured bacterium
Lineage: Bacteria
Description: partial 16S ribosomal RNA
Rfam family: Bacterial small subunit ribosomal RNA
Source: RNAcentral